AAAAAACAGUUCUUGACAAAACCCCGCUUGUUAUUGAGCUAAAAUUAUCAUCUUUAGAGGCAAAAACAGCAACUUUUUUGGAGGAAAAAUGUGUUCUUGACAAAACCCCACUUGCUACUGGACUUGAAUUGUCAUCUUUAUCAGCAAAAACAGUUACUUUUUUGUAGGAAAAAUGAGUUUUUGACAGAAACCCACUAGUUAUUGAGGCUGAAUUAUCAUUUUUAUCAGCAAAAACAAGAACUUUUCUGGGUAAACAAAGGGAUUUUGAGAUUCUUGAAUGGUGUAAAGAUGAAAUUGACAACAAGGGGUUG
This 311-nucleotide unclassified non-coding RNA is filed under the name Hevea brasiliensis (rubber tree). The record is from RNAcentral. Lineage: Eukaryota; Viridiplantae; Streptophyta; Magnoliopsida; Malpighiales; Euphorbiaceae.